ACACGACUCUCGGCAACGGAUAUCUAGGCUCUCGCAUCGAUGAAGAACGUAGCAAAAUGCGAUACUUGGUGUGAAUUGCAGAAUCCCGUGAAUCAUCGAGUUUUUGAACGCAAGUUGCGCCCGAAGCCAUCCGGCCAAGGGCACGUCUGCCUGGGCGUCACGCAUCUCGUCGCCACCCCUCCCCGUCCUC
RNAcentral lists this ribosomal RNA (190 nucleotides) under Rubia peregrina (Levantine madder). RNAcentral describes it as "5.8S ribosomal RNA". The stretch from base 5 to 160 matches the Rfam family "5.8S ribosomal RNA". From Rfam's summary of the family: 5.8S ribosomal RNA (5.8S rRNA) is a component of the large subunit of the eukaryotic ribosome. It is transcribed by RNA polymerase I as part of the 45S precursor that also contains 18S and 28S rRNA. Functionally, it is thought that 5.8S rRNA may be involved in ribosome translocation. Lineage: Eukaryota; Viridiplantae; Streptophyta; Magnoliopsida; Gentianales; Rubiaceae. RNAcentral also lists the same sequence under 2 other names. The record is from RNAcentral.